RNAcentral lists this long non-coding RNA (218 nucleotides) under Elaeis guineensis (African oil palm). Its description in RNAcentral is "long non-coding RNA (EGUI_LNC003030)". The record is from RNAcentral. Lineage: Eukaryota; Viridiplantae; Streptophyta; Magnoliopsida; Arecales; Arecaceae.
GCCGGUCGCAAAAUCAAAACUUGUUGGAAUCAUUGUCAGUAUUUUAUUUUUCAAAAUCCGAAAACAAUUUUUUUUUAAAAAAAAUUAGAAAAUACACAUUUGGCAUCAACUAUUGGUGGUGAUGAUAGUCACAUUAAUUAUGGUGAAAGCAAUGGGGGUAAAACAAGACCUGUUGGCUUUUAGUUGCUUUUAAUAACUUUCAUUUUCCUUCAAAAACC